Molecule: ribosomal RNA, 223 nt
Filed under: uncultured bacterium
Lineage: Bacteria
Description: partial 16S ribosomal RNA
Rfam family: Bacterial small subunit ribosomal RNA
Source: RNAcentral
UACGUAGGGUGCAAGCGUUGUCCGGAAUUAUUGGGCGUAAAGAGCUCGUAGGCGGUUUGUCGCGUCGAAUGUGAAAAACCCGGGGCUCAACCCCCGGGCCUGCAUUCGAUACGGGCAGACUAGAGUUCGGUAGGGGGAGUCUGGAAUUUCCUGGGUGUAGCGGGUGAAAAAUGCGCAGAUAUCAAGGAGGAACACCGGUGGCGAAAGGGCGGGGACUCCUGGG